Gasterosteus aculeatus aculeatus (three-spined stickleback) is the source of this 768-nucleotide long non-coding RNA. Lineage: Eukaryota; Metazoa; Chordata; Actinopteri; Perciformes; Gasterosteidae. The record is from Ensembl.
GGGGGGGGGUGCGCACGCGCGCGCAGCGGGAGGAGUGUGGAGUGGACGCGGCGGCGAGUGCAGCCGAGCGAAGCCGAAGAACUCCGCUGACCGACCGGCACGGACGCAGAGGGAAGCGUGACUUGUGGAGGAAGAGACGUAAAAGGAAGAAGAAGAAAAAAAAAAGAAAAAACUCCCCAACCUUCCACGGCUCAGUUCGACACUUGGAGCGAGAGGCUCACGUGAGAGCCGGUUCGCGGCGCGAGGAACGGCAGCGGCCGCGACAGACCCGGAUAGACCCCGGUCUCCACCAGGACCUCGUGUUCGUCUGGACUCGUAUCCCCCGACACACACACACACACACGCGCACCAUACCAGCACCUCUUCAUUUACUUGGCGCUAACUCGCGCGUUCUGCGGCGGCUCAGUGGCGCGCGGUGGAUUUGUUUCGCGUGCUCGCCAGCUGGAGACGGGAGGAGGAAGCGCGCGGGUCUCGGAGCCGGAGAGAAAUGCCCACGGCGGCGACGAAGAGGAGCUUCAACCUGAGAACAACCUCAGGGCCAAGAGCGUGCCCUUGGUGUUCAGACGGCAGUGCAGUGUGAUGCUAACACGGUGUUAGUCUUUGAUCCUGUCAGAGUGGGACGCGUCUAGCAGGGGACUGAGGAGGGAGCAGUGCCGACUCGGAAACAUGGGGCCCAGCCGUCACCUGGCAGUGCCCCUCCUGCCCAGAGAGGCGUUGCCGCUCCUGCUGCUGCUCUGCUGCAUGGUGUUCUCCUCCAAGGCAGAGAGU